AAGCACCGGCUAACUCCGUGCCAGCAGCCGCGGUAAUACGUAGGGUGCAAGCGUUAUCCGGAAUCAUUGGGUUUAAAGGGUCCGUAGGCGGACGAUUAAGUCAGAGGUGAAAGUCUGCAGCUCAACUGUAGAAUUGCCUUUGAUACUGGUUGUCUUGAAUUAUUGUGAAGUGGUUAGAAUAAGUAGUGUAGCGGUGAAAUGCAUAGAUAUUACUUAGAAUACCAAUUGCGAAGGCAGAUCACUAACAAUAUAUUGACGCUGAGGGACGAAAGCGUGGGGAGCGAACAGGAUUAGAUACCCUGGUAGUCCACGCCGUAAACGAUGGAUACUAGCUGUUCGAUUUUCGGAUUGAGUGGCUAAGCGAAAGUGAUAAGUAUCCCACCUGGGGAGUACGUUCGCAAGAAUGAAACUCAAAGGAAUUGACGGGG
RNAcentral lists this ribosomal RNA (428 nucleotides) under uncultured bacterium. Its description in RNAcentral is "bacterial SSU rRNA". It matches the Rfam family "Bacterial small subunit ribosomal RNA", at positions 488 to 918 of the family's 1533-position model. The record is from RNAcentral.